This 253-nucleotide ribosomal RNA is filed under the name uncultured bacterium. RNAcentral's name for it is "partial 16S ribosomal RNA". It matches the Rfam family "Bacterial small subunit ribosomal RNA", at positions 524 to 776 of the family's 1533-position model. The record is from RNAcentral.
UACGUAGGGGGCAAGCGUUGUCCGGAAUCAUUGGGCGUAAAGAGCGUGUAGGCGGUCCGGUAAGUCGGUUGUGAAAGUCCAGGGCUCAACCCUGGGAUGCCGACCGAUACUGUCGGACUAGAGUUCGGAAGAGGCGAGUGGAAUUCCCGGUGUAGCGGUGAAAUGCGCAGAUAUCGGGAGGAACACCGGUGGCGAAGGCGGCUACCUGGACCGGUACUGACGCUGAGGCGCGAAAGCUAGGGUAGCAAACAGG